CCCUUAGAUGAUUUGGGCUGCACGCGCGCUACACUGACCCUAACAAUGAGCAACUGUCUGGCCUGAGAUGGCUGGGUAGCCUUUUCAACCCAUGUCAUGAUUGGGCUAGAUUUUUGUAAGUCUUGAUCUCUAACGAGGAAUCCCUAGUAUGCGUGAAUCAUCAAUCCAUGCAGAUUAUGUCCCUGCCCUUUGUACACACCGCCCGUCGCUCCUACUGAUUGGGUGAUCCGGUGAGCUGUUCGGCCAUAGCAAUGUUUCUUGAGCAGGGCAACGAAUGUUUCGCAAACCUUGCCACUUAGAGGAAGGAGAAGUCGUAACA
Molecule: ribosomal RNA, 319 nt
Filed under: uncultured eukaryote
Lineage: Eukaryota
Description: partial 18S ribosomal RNA
Rfam family: Eukaryotic small subunit ribosomal RNA
Source: RNAcentral